Molecule: ribosomal RNA, 396 nt
Filed under: uncultured bacterium
Lineage: Bacteria
Description: partial 16S ribosomal RNA
Rfam family: Bacterial small subunit ribosomal RNA
Source: RNAcentral
AUACGUAGGUGACAAGCGUUGUCCGGAUUUACUGGGUGUAAAGGGCGUGUAGGCGGAGAUGCAAGUCAGGAGUGAAAUCUAGGGGCUCAACCCCUAAACUGCUUUUGAAACUGUAUCCCUUGAGUAUCGGAGAGGCAGGCGGAAUUCCUAGGGUAGCGGUGAAAUGCGUAGAUAUUAGGAGGAACACCAGUGGCGAAGGCGGCCUGCUGGACGACAACUGACGCUGAGGCGCGAAAGCGUGGGGAGCAAACAGGAUUAGAUACCCUGGUAGUCCACGCUGUAAACGAUGAAUACUAGGUGUGGGGGGACUGACCCCCUCCGUGCCGCAGUUAACACAAUAAGUAUUCCACUUGGGGAGUACGAUCGCAAGAUUGAAACUCAAAUGAAUUGACGGGG